Non-coding RNA from Podarcis lilfordi (Lilford's wall lizard), 6314 nucleotides. The record is from the annotation of a GenBank genome assembly. Lineage: Eukaryota; Metazoa; Chordata; Lepidosauria; Squamata; Lacertidae.
CAUUUUUCUGAAGCACUUCUUGGAUGUGUCUAGAUCCAGCCUAAGGAAAAGCUGUAUGUUCUUGAAACGACAGUUUCUAGCAGUGUUUUUAUAGGAAGGAAAAGAGAACUAAAGCAGGCAUAGGCAAACUUGGCCCUCCAGAUGUUUUGGGACUACAACUCCCACGAUCCUUAGCUAACAGGACCAGUGGUCAGGGAUGAUGGGAAUUGUGGUCCCAAAACAUCUGGAGGGCCGAGUUUGCCUAUGCCUGAACUAAAGGGUCAAAUGACCCAGGGCUUUGCAAAUGGGAAUUAAGUCUAAUUCCCACAACAGCUUAGCCAGUGAUAGGCCCCCUCACCCAGCCACCCAGAAUCUCUUCUGGGUGAGGGGAUGAGCUUGGAGGGGACUCGUGCCACCAUUGAUGACGGCAGCUGCUGUAAGAGGCUGAUGACCAGCUCUUUCCCCCGGGAUUAAUAUGCAGAUUGGAUCCACUAUGCCAGUCUCCCCAAUGCCUGAUGAGAGGCCAGGCAUGAGACUGCUCUGCUCCCCACUCUUCACCCCUGCAGAUCCUACCUGCAUGCAGAUUCUACAUGCAGCUCAGAUCCCCUCCUCCACUUCACUGCCUACCAGCCCUUGCUUCCCCCAGGUGACCCGCAUAAAUUGGUUCAGUGGGAUGUGCCUGGGGCCCCGUUCAAUGUCCUCCACCUUGACGCAUCCCUUUUGUUGACUUUGCUAAUACCGCAGGGCUACCAGGAAGCCAAAGGCGGUACAGCUCUCAGCAAUUAGCAGCGAAUGGUGAUGGCUUCACCUUAGCAACACUUAAAACUCCUGUGUUUUUAUGUACUGCCCUGAGGUGGUUCUCUGAGAGCCACUUACAUUUUACAUUAAUGUCACUUCUAGGAAGGAAACAAUGAUCUAAAAUGUUGUAACGCUUCGUUCCGCCCUAAGGUUCAGUGGCGUCCCAUGAUCACCUGGGAUAUUUAAGGGCAAGACAGGAUUGUAGCCAAAGGCAUCCAAGCACUGCACUCGAAAAAGCCACCCUUGCUUACCUUUCAAUAAAAAUAGGGGACACCUUCAAAGAUGCUCCACCAAGCAUUUUCAUCCUUGUUCUCUUGAUGUGGGCUAGAGCUGAUACUGAGUAUUCUGUGGGAUUACACGCAUCUCCAGGUCGGCUAAGCUUGAUGAACUGGCACAGUGCGGAUGGCAAAAGCAGUGACUGUAUGUCCCAGAAUCGUGACUGUAGCUAUUAGCUCUUUGUGUUGGGAGCUUUCUCUUUUCAUUACGUUUGAAUAUCGUAACUGAGAUUGAUUACCCUAAAGUGGGCUGAGGUUGAUGAGAUUACUCUGACAUAUAGAACAAAUGUCGAGUCAGAGAAAGAGGAUGAAAAAUUGGAUUGAUAAAGUUGGAUUGGUAGCUUGUUGCGGCAGUAAUUGAAGUGCCUUGUUGUUGCUGUAUUGUGAUGGGCUUGGAUAAAAUAUGGGCCCUCUUGUCUAGAUCACACUUUUGAACAAUAGCAAACUGAAAAUAAAAAAGAGGCACAUAGACGCCUUCAUUCCAGUAUUUGUUAAGGAAACGUUCUAGUCUUGGCUGUCAAUGUAGAUUCUUGAGAGGCUGUAAUAAAAAAAUAUCUUCAUUGUGUUUUGACAGCAGGAAAGCAGGUUGUCUCACCCCUUCAGAAAAGCAAGAUGUAUCAUCUAUAUACAUCCAUGCUAUUUUCAGAUUCUCACAUGUGAAAAAUCAGUUUAUGUUAACAGUGAAUCUUCUGCAUGUAUACUCAGAAGUUAAGCCUCAAUGAAACUAACAGCACUCAUGCCCAAGUAAAUACCUGCAUAGGAAUGUACCGUAAGCAUUUUAAAAUGCCACUGUACAUAGUAUAUUAUGAGUGUCAAGGGGAAGGGGCAAACAGGAACACAUUCAGCUGUCUUAUUAGUCCCUGUCUACAAUCUGAUGCCUGCAAACUAAAAUAAUUGUGGAUGUUGAAGCAUGAGUUUGGCCAAGAUGUGUUUUUGUGGUCACCAGUUUCAAAAGCACUGAAGUUUGCAGUGGAACAUUUAAGACAAACAAGCAGCUCUGUUGACAGUUCUGUGGUACUAACAUGUCACCCCCUCUUUUGUUCCCUGGCCACAACACAACAAAUUUCUAUGGCCACCAUGGAUCCCCCUAAUGCAGAGAGGCCACCCUGUGACUGAGACCUUUCAACCACCCCUUAACCAGAGGGGAGCCUCAUUUCAAAGUGUGCUCAAUAAAAGACCAAACUUUCACAACUGUCAGCUCUAGCUCUCAUUUAUUCAGGGGUGACAGCAGCCGUGGAGCCCAUAUUUACACCCCUGGAGGUCAGCCUGCAGUAGCUCUCGCCACUGUCUGUGGACCACAGCUCCCAGAAACCCCCAGGAGCAGUCCUUUUGCAUCUACCCAAUACAAUACAAUAAUCUUUAUUGUCAUUGUCUCAUACAGAACAACGAAACUGAAAAAAUCUACAUCAGACAUUCAAAAACCAACAAACCUGCUAUCCCAGCUAUCCCAGCUUGGUUAACCCCCUAAAAACUCUGAUACCCCAUAAUGAAAUACAAUAUACUCCCACAGAGACUACCUUACACUGCGUUUAAAACCAAAAUCACAUUCGGAUAAGAACUGUUUCUCAGGCGGCUAGUCCUAGUCUUUAUAACCCUGUACCUUCUUCCAGAAGGCAGAAGCUGAAAGAGAUCAUUUCCAGGGUGAGCACUAUCUCUGCAGUUUUCUUAUGACACCUGGAAGCAUAGAUUUGAUCCAAAGUGGGAAGAGUGCACCCAAUUAUUCUCUCUGCAGUCUUUACAACCCUGGACAUCUGUGCUGCAUGGUUUUAUUUGGAGGUGACAGGAGCAGCCCCUGUGUAUGUCUGACAUGCUUGCAAGUUGCACAGUGUGGGUGUGGUGUGUGGCACAAGGUGAGCUAUAGUGUUCCGCGUGCCUUGUUUGUGGCUGUGUGGUUGGUGGAGCAUGUGGGAAUGUGAUGUUCAAUGUGUGCUGGUUGGAUUGCCAUGCUGAGCCCUGCUUGGGAUGCCAUCUGUGCUCUGUCCCCUGUUUGUUUGCAUCCCUGGACCGGCAUUUCCGAGUUGCUUCUCGCGAGCUAUCUCUGUGCAACCUUGCAGUUUGUACACACCUGGUGCCAACAGGUAGGGAUGCUGGCUGAGAUGGUUCUGUGGUUUGAGGGCUUGUCUUCCAUUUGUGGGAUGUGAUCCAUGAGAGGCAGUCAAGUUCAACAUUCUUUGUAAUGCUAGAGGGGACAUGCGAGGGAAUGUUUGGUCCAGCCAGUCGAAACUUCCUGUUCCUCCUGGCUGGAGCAUCGUUCCUUUUGCAUGUGAUAGAAGGUGGGUAUGACCUAACCUGUCCAGGUAACGCAGCACCCUUCCUUCUUUUUGACUUCCUUCUUCGUUUGACCAGCUUUUAACUAGGACUGCUCUGCUAGCUCUCAGCUAGCAGAAGCACUGGGAUUAUUCCCCCACAUGGGGUAGAUCCACAUGUACGUAUUUGUAACUAAGUAUACCUUCAGGAAUCCAACUGUGAUUGAACUUCUUUUACUGAUUUUGAAUCUGAUUGUGGUGUCUUUAUUCUUUUAAGAGGGAUUCAAGGGAACUUACCAGGAACGUACAAUUCAAUCUGAGACAGACUGACUUGUAUAAUAAUGAGAAGCUCACACGAACCUGCAACCAGCUAUCUGCUGUGCAUGUAAAAAGGGGAAUGUAACUCUGCUAAGAAAAGGAACUUGCUAGCACAAGUUAGGAAGGAUAUUAAUAAACAAUAUAACCUCUCCUGCCACCCUGAACCUUCCCUUCACCAUUUGCCCUUCCCAGAGCUUCCUGAAUGGACCUACUUCACGUUGGCUUAACUUAAGCUGGUGUAACUUGCAUCACCUUCCUGUGUUUAGACACUCAGCUACAUUGGUAGAGAAAAAAAAUGCUUUAUAUGCAUUAUAACACUGUGACACCAGAUGGUGCUGUGGAGUCCUGCCUUUUGCCAAUGGGCUUUCCCUUUAUGAAGUUUACAACGCGUUUAACUGAUGUGUCUACAUCCAGCCCAGGAUUACAUUGUUAGGAAGAAAGGAAGAGAAAGAGAGGGUUGAAGAAAUAUUGGUGACUAUGAGUGCAGCAAAAGGUCAAACUUAAACAUUUUAGGCAUUUUAUUAACCCUUAACUUCACAGCUCUCUGAGAGACCAACCUUCCCAGCUUUUCUCAAGAAUCAUUCAAACAUCAUCCAGGUAGCUAUAUUUUCCCUAUUUCUUUUAGACCAGUGUUUUCCAAAGUGGGUGAUACCGCCGGGGGGGGGGGGGGCACUGGAACGAUCCAGGGGGGCAGUAGUAGACUCAGGUGUAAUUGGAGGGGUUGAGGGCAGGUUGGUGGAAGCAUAAAGAAAGAAGAGACUUUUGAAAAACCGUUCAUACAUGUUUCAUCUGUUGUUUAUGCUUACUGAUGUAACAUAGAGUUAAAGUCAUCGUGGUUACUUUAUUUUUCAAAUAACACACAAAAUGCCAGAUAUAACUGAUCAAUGGUUUCCAGGGGGCCUCUGAGCAAUUUUCUUUUCUGAAAAGGGGGCAGUGGGCCAAAUAAAUUUGGGAACCUCUGUUUUGGAUAGAUGCCCAAUACGCUGUUUGGAUACUGCAAGUGAUAUGUGUAGUCAGCCUAAGUCCUGAAACAAACGUGAAGAAACAAUUUGGAAAUGCUGUUUUUAUUUAUGCCUCUGUUUGGACUCUCACUGGCCGUAGGACAAUGGACCACUGUCUUCUGUCUGUUUAGUCCAAUAGGGCUUGUGUCUGAAAAUGCACCAGUAUAAUAGAACAGUUUGAACUACUAGCAAUCCAAUUUCUCCUGGAACUUGUUCAAAUCAAGUAUACUCCAUGCAAAGUUAAGUAGGUGUGGUUGUCUUGAAUUUAACAGUAAGUAGAUAAUCACUGUGCAUCAGGGUGUUUAGGUUGUGAAUAGUUAAGCUAUGUGUGCCAAUUGUGUCUAGACCAAACUUUUAAAUUACACAGCGCUGUGUGCCCUGUCGCUUUACUUUGUGUAAAGAAAUAUGUUUCACUAGCAAUUGGUGAAACUUGUGGUGCUCUUGUGCAACAUAAUUCAUGCUUUCACUGAUUGCCUUCAUUCUCUCUCUUUAUAAUACCCCCCAUUCUUCUCUUUGUAUUGAGGGCAUGUAAGAAUCACUGCAGCAAAUCUGCAAACGGAGUAUUCCAAGGAAAAUCACUGCCCAUUUGUCUUAGAAAGAGUACAAAAAGUACAAGCUGUGGGCAAUCGCUGCUCUGCUCUGCUCUGCUCUGCUGUGCAUUGUGCCAAUGUUAGUACAAGCUACCAAAUUCCCCUCCCCAAAACGCCUGUGGGACCAAUGUAAAAUAAAGAAAACAAUGUAUUUAUUCAUUUCCAGUCUUGUGAGAGGUUGAUAUUCAGAACCAAAGAUGGGGUAUCUUGAACCUGGUAUGGGAAAAGAAUUUGGCAUCGCAAGGAUCUCUUCCUUCCCUCUUUAAAGAAAGAAUACUCUUCUAGUCCACAUGGUUGCAGAAAUAAAUCAUAAAUGUCAAACAGUUUCCUCGGAAAGGUCAGAACAGGGACUUUGGAAGAGGCUUCCACUGCGCAGGAAUAAAGAGCGCAUUUGUUUUGCGUGGUCCCCUAUCCCUUCUAGAGGAGCUUAAUUCAUGACUUCAUGCUGUCCCACUUCUCCAGAACCCCUUUCGUUUAUUUUCCUCCACCAGAAAAAUUGUCCCAAGAAAAUCCAAUAUUUCAUUUAUAAUCAGCUAGGCAAACUUUAUUUAUCCAUGCACGGCAUGUGCAAUUUAUUUUAACCUGCAAAACUGUACCACAGGGCAAAUGCAGCCUUGUUCAUAUCUUCCAUCAGGGCCGGCCCACCCAUGAGGCAAAGCGAAGCAACUGCCUCGGGUGGCAAGAUCCCCUCUUUUUCCAUGAUAUAGAUCUUCACUCUUGGCAGGGAAGGCAGUGCCAUCUUGGAUCAACCCUGCCUUGCACCCUACUUUCCUGUGUCCUUUGCUGCAUUUUAAACAUGUCUGCCUGAUAUCCAUGGAAAGGACACAACUUCCUUCUGCUCACACACAAACCUGUCAGCUGCAGUAUGAAAAUGUUAUACACAGUCAAUCUGUUACCUUUGUUGUUACUAUUACCUGCAUAUAUGUGUGUACCUAUAAUCUCCCGUACAGUCUGAGUCAUUGGACUGAAGCCAAUUCUCUUCACAACAGGUGCAGUGAAAGAGGCCUGGAAAUGUUUCAACAGCGGGCGUGAAGAACAGCAAACACGCCAGUCAUUAUCAGCCAAGAAAUUUUGUUUUAGGAAAAUUAAAACUGUACACUCUGGCAA